This 496-nucleotide ribosomal RNA is filed under the name uncultured bacterium. RNAcentral's name for it is "partial 16S ribosomal RNA". It matches the Rfam family "Bacterial small subunit ribosomal RNA", at positions 29 to 507 of the family's 1533-position model. The record is from RNAcentral.
ACGCACGCUGGCGGCGUGCCUAAUACAUGCAAGUAGAACGCUGAAGAGAGGAGCUUGCUCUUCUUGGAUGAGUUGCGAACGGGUGAGUAACGCGUAGGUAACCUGCCUUGUAGCGGGGGAUAACUAUUGGAAACGAUAGCUAAUACCGCAUAACAAUGGAUGACACAUGUCAUUUAUUUGAAAGGGGCAAUUGCUCCACUACAAGAUGGACCUGCGUUGUAUUAGCUAGUAGGUGAGGUAAUGGCUCACCUAGGCGACGAUACAUAGCCGACCUGAGAGGGUGAUCGGCCACACUGGGACUGAGACACGGCCCAGACUCCUACGGGAGGCAGCAGUAGGGAAUCUUCGGCAAUGGGGGCAACCCUGACUGAGCAACGCCGCGUGAGUGAAGAAGGUUUUCGGAUCGUAAAGCUCUGUUGUAAGUCAAGAACGGGUGUGAGAGUGGAAAGUUCACACUGUGACGGUAGCUUACCAGAAAGGGACGGCUAACUACGUG